AAAUUGAAGAGUUUGAUCAUGGCUCAGAUUGAACGCUGGCGGCAGGCCUAACACAUGCAAGUCGAGCGGUAGCACAGAGAGCUUGCUCUCGGGUGACGAGCGGCGGACGGGUGAGUAAUGUCUGGGAAACUGCCUGAUGGAGGGGGAUAACUACUGGAAACGGUAGCUAAUACCGCAUAACGUCGCAAGACCAAAGUGGGGGACCUUCGGGCCUCAUGCCAUCAGAUGUGCCCAGAUGGGAUUAGCUAGUAGGUGGGGUAACGGCUCACCUAGGCGACGAUCCCUAGCUGGUCUGAGAGGAUGACCAGCCACACUGGAACUGAGACACGGUCCAGACUCCUACGGGAGGCAGCAGUGGGGAAUAUUGCACAAUGGGCGCAAGCCUGAUGCAGCCAUGCCGCGUGUGUGAAGAAGGCCUUCGGGUUGUAAAGNACUUUCAGCGGGGAGGAAGGNGUAAGGUUAAUNNNNNNNNNAUUGACGUUACCCGCAGAAGAAGCACCGGCUAACUCCGUGCCAGCAGCCGCGGUAAUACGGAGGGUGCAAGCGUUAAUCGGAAUUACUGGGCGUAAAGCGCACGCAGGCGGUCNNUNAAGUCNGAUGUGAAANCCCCGNGCUCAACCUGGGAACUGCAUUCGAAACUGGCAGGCUAGAGUCUUGUAGAGGGGGGUAGAAUUCCAGGUGUAGCGGUGAAAUGCGUAGAGAUCUGGAGGAAUACCGGUGGCGAAGGCGGCCCCCUGGACAAAGACUGACGCUCAGGUGCGAAAGCGUGGGGAGCAAACAGGAUUAGAUACCCUGGUAGUCCACGCCGUAAACGAUGUCGAUUUGGAGGUUGUGCCCUUGAGGCGUGGCUUCCGGAGCUAACGCGUUAAAUCGACCGCCUGGGGAGUACGGCCGCAAGGUUAAAACUCAAAUGAAUUGACGGGGGCCCGCACAAGCGGUGGAGCAUGUGGUUUAAUUCGAUGCAACGCGAAGAACCUUACCUGGUCUUGACAUCCACAGAACUUUCCAGAGAUGGAUUGGUGCCUUCGGGAACUGUGAGACAGGUGCUGCAUGGCUGUCGUCAGCUCGUGUUGUGAAAUGUUGGGUUAAGUCCCGCAACGAGCGCAACCCUUAUCCUUUGUUGCCAGCGGUCCGGCCGGGAACUCAAAGGAGACUGCCAGUGAUAAACUGGAGGAAGGUGGGGAUGACGUCAAGUCAUCAUGGCCCUUACGACCAGGGCUACACACGUGCUACAAUGGCAUAUACAAAGAGAAGCGACCUCGCGAGAGCAAGCGGACCUCAUAAAGUAUGUCGUAGUCCGGAUUGGAGUCUGCAACUCGACUCCAUGAAGUCGGAAUCGCUAGUAAUCGUAGAUCAGAAUGCUACGGUGAAUACGUUCCCGGGCCUUGUACACACCGCCCGUCACACCAUGGGAGUGGGUUGCAAAAGAAGUAGGUAGCUUAACCUUCGGGAGGGCGCUUACCACUUUGUGAUUCAUGACUGGGGUGAAGUCGUAACAAGGUAACCGUAGGGGAACCUGCGGUUGGAUCACCUCCUUA
Molecule: ribosomal RNA, 1538 nt
Filed under: Klebsiella pneumoniae
Lineage: Bacteria; Pseudomonadati; Pseudomonadota; Gammaproteobacteria; Enterobacterales; Enterobacteriaceae
Description: bacterial SSU rRNA
Rfam family: Bacterial small subunit ribosomal RNA
Source: RNAcentral